AAACACCAAGUCAUAUCU
Molecule: small nuclear RNA, 18 nt
Filed under: Arabidopsis thaliana (thale cress)
Lineage: Eukaryota; Viridiplantae; Streptophyta; Magnoliopsida; Brassicales; Brassicaceae
Description: snRNA_06151
Source: RNAcentral